This 1050-nucleotide ribosomal RNA is filed under the name uncultured Verrucomicrobiota bacterium. RNAcentral describes it as "bacterial SSU rRNA". It matches the Rfam family "Bacterial small subunit ribosomal RNA", at positions 1 to 1037 of the family's 1533-position model. Lineage: Bacteria; Pseudomonadati; Verrucomicrobiota. The record is from RNAcentral.
UAGAGUUUGAUCCUGGCUCAGAACGAACGCUGGCGGCGUGGAUGAGGCAUGCAAGUCGAACGAACUUUGCCGAGUAGCAAUAUUUGGCAGAGAGAGUGGCGUAAGGGUGAGUAAUACGUAGGUAAUCUGCCUCCUAGAUGGGCACAACCUGGCGAAAGCCGGGCUAAUUCCCAAUGUGGCAGUCGCGCGCAUGCGCGACAAUCUGAAGCCGGGGACCGCAAGGCCUGGCGCUAGGAGAUGAGCCUGCGUCCUAUCAGCUUGUUGGUGAGGUAACGGCUCACCAAGGCUUACGGGUAGCUGGUCUGAGAGGACGAUCAGCCACACUGGGACUGAGACACUGCCCAGACUCCUACGGGAGGCUGCAGUCGAGAAUCUUUCGCAAUGGGGGAAACCCUGACGAAGCGACGCCGCGUGCAGGAUGAAAGCCUUCGGGUCGUAAACUGCUGUCUUUCGGGAGCAAGGAACACGGGUGAACAAUCCGUGAACUUGAUAGUACCGGAGGAGGAAGCCACGGCUAACUCUGUGCCAGCAGCCGCGGUAAUACAGAGGUGGCAAGCGUUGUUCGGAUUUACUGGGCGUAAAGGGUGCGUAGGCGGUUCUGUGUGUCGGGUGUGAAAUCCCACGGAUUAUCCGUGGAACGGCAUUCGAAACUACAGGGCUAGAGUGCGGGAGAGGAAGGUGGAAUUCUCGGUGUAGCGGUGAAAUGCGUUGAUAUCGAGAGGAACGCCGGUGGUGAAGACGACCUUCUGGAACGCAACUGACGCUGAGGCACGAAAGCUAGGGGAGCAAACAGGAUUAGAUACCCUGGUAGUCCUAGCCGUAAACGGUGUGCACUUGAUGUAGGAGGAAUUAUCCCCUUCUGUGUCGAAGCUAACGCGAUAAGUGCACCGCCUGGGGAGUACGGUCGCAGAUUAAAACUCAAAGGAAUUGACGGGGGUCGCACAAGCGGUGGGAGCAUGUGGCUUAUUCGAUGCACGCGAGACCUUACCUGGGCUGACAUGUGACUGGAUGCUGGUCGAAAGAUCGGAGGCCUUCGAGGCUGUCACACAG